GUAUGGAAAAGCAAAUGUAGGUAUAAGUAACGAUAAAGGGGGUGGGAAACCCCCUCGCCGAAAGACUAAGGUUUCCUGAUCAACGCUAAUCGGAUCAGGGUAAGUCGGGACCUAAGGCUCAGCCGAACGGCGAGGCCGAUGGCAGAAACGGUCAAGAUUCCGUUACUACCUUACAGGGUGACGUGGAGACGCAGAAGUGGCACUGCCGCGGGCUGACGGAAUAGCCCGUUGAAGAGUGUAGGCGUUGAUCCCCGCAGGCAAAUCCGUGGGGAGAGCCGACCUUGAGAGUACACCAAUUCCUCCGGGAUGCGGUGACAGCGCAGGUAAGCAGACUGCCGAGAAAAUCCGCUAAACAUAACCUGUAAGGUACCCGUACCGCAAACGGACACACGUAGUCGGGUUGAAUAUACUAAGGCGCUUGAGUGAAUCACGGUUAAGGAACUAGGCAAACUGACCCUGUAACUUCGGGAUAAAGGGUCCCUCCUCGCAAGAGAGGGCGCAGAGAAUAGGUCCAGGCAACUGUUUAACAAAAACACAGGGCUGUGCGAAUAUGAAAGUAGAAGUAUACAGCCUGACACCUGCCCGGUGCUGGAAGGUUAAGAGGAGACGUCAUCGCAAGAGAAGCGUUGAAUUGAAGCCCCAGUAAACGGCGGCCGUAACAAUAACGGUCCUAAGGUAGCGAAAUCCCUUGUCGGGUAAGUUCCGACCUGCACGAAUGGUGUAAUGAUCCGGACGCUGUCUCAACCGUGAGCUCAGUGAAAUUGUAGUAUCGGUGAAGAUGCCGAUUACCCGCGAUGGGACGAAAAGACCCCGUGAACCUUUACUAUAGCUUAGCAUUGGAUUUGGGCACGCGAUGUGUAGGAUAGGUCGGAGGCUUUGAGGCGGGCACGCCAGUGUCCGUGGAGCCGCUGUUGAAAUACGACCCUUCGUUUGUUUGAGUUCUAACUCCGGGUUGGAGGACAUUGCUUGGUGGGUAGUUUGACUGGGGUGGUCGCCUCCAAAAGCGUAACGGAGGCUUCUAAAGGUGCCCUCAGGACGAUCGGUAACCGUCCGCAGAGUGUAAUGGCAUAAGGGCGCUUGACUGGGAGACAGACAGGUCGAGCAGGUAGGAAACUAGAGCAUAGUGAUCCGGUGUUUCCGUAUGGAAGGGACAUCGCUCAAAGGAUAAAAGGUACUCCGGGGAUAACAGGCUGAUCCCUCCCAAGAGCUCAUAUCGACGGAGUGGUUUGGCACCUCGAUGUCGGCUCGUCACAUCCUGGGGCUGGAGAAGGUCCCAAGGGUUGGGCUGUUCGCCCAUUAAAGUGGCACGCGAGCUGGGUUCAGAACGUCGUGAGACAGUUCGGUCUCUAUCUAUCGUGGGCGUAUGAAAUUUGCGUGGCUCUGACACUAGUACGAGAGGACCGUGUUGGACCGACCUCUGGUUUACCGGUUGUGCCGCCAGGUGCAUCGCCGGGUAUCCAAGUCGGGAUCGGAUAAGCGCUGAAAGCAUCUAAGUGCGAAGCCGGCCACAAGAUUAGAUUUCUCAGGGUCGUCAAAGACGAUGACGUCGAUAGGAUGCAGGUGUAAAGGUGGAGACACCAAAGCCGAGCAUUACUAAUUGCCC
Molecule: ribosomal RNA, 1603 nt
Filed under: metagenome
Description: bacterial LSU rRNA
Rfam family: Bacterial large subunit ribosomal RNA
Source: RNAcentral